RNAcentral lists this unclassified non-coding RNA (2284 nucleotides) under Leishmania donovani. Its description in RNAcentral is "gene:LdHU3.33.4130(CDS-product:hypothetical_prote in_conserved)". The record is from RNAcentral. Lineage: Eukaryota; Euglenozoa; Kinetoplastea; Trypanosomatida; Trypanosomatidae.
AACAACCUAACGGCAGGGUGGGCAGUUUCUCUCUCUUGCCGCACAUUUUUUUCGUGUCUUUGGUUUUGUUCAUGUGUCUUAAUCAUAGCGUUUUCUUUUGUGUGACCGUACACGUACUUACCUGAUCUGCGUGUCUGCUCAUGUGGAUGCUGUCUGGCAUCGCAUUACCGAAUCCAUUUUGACCUCGCUGUCGUGCGCUCUUGUCGGUUGUUUUAGCACCCAUAGAAGCACAAGCAACGCGGCGAGCAGGGACGAUGGCGCAUCCGGCGAAGCGUCGGCGUGGCGGUGGCCGUCACCGUGCUACUGUGAUGUGCGCCCUCCUAGCCGUCAUUUUUGUUCUGGGUGGUCUCUACGGUGCCCCGGUACGCGCUCAACAGCAAGCGCGUGGACUUGCAGAACUUGAGAGCGGUUCCCUUCCUCUAGCCGACGAAAACUUUGGCCACGGACACAAUCUCUACAAAGUCGUGGGCAAAGACGGAAUCUUAGACGACAAGGGUUUACAGACUCGCUCUGACGAGGAGGCCAUAAACAUGGAAACUGUUGCUUCGAGUGGUGCGACAUCCUCCAUCUGGAGGGCGGAAGGCAAUCCGUCUAUCGAGAGUGGCUCGUCGUCCUCUGCAGCUGCGAGUGACGCUGGCACGGCGGAGCGGAGCACCAGUUUCCGUUCCGAGGCUGGUGCUGCCAGCCAAAACCCUGACUCGUCGUCCUCUGCAGCUGCGAGUGACGCUGGCACGGCGGAGCGGAGCACCAGUUUCCGUUCCGAGGCUGGUGCUGCCAGCCAAAACCCUGACUCGUCGUCCUCUGCAAGGAGCAGCCGUCCCCUCACCGCGUCUUCUUCCUCUGAGACGAGCAAAGAGGAUCAACCGGUAGAUGGGUCCCCCGGCACCACUCUGACGAACACUACCACAACGGCAACCACGGAGACACCAACAACGAAGCGUCCGGCGGUUGAUCAUGGUAUGGGCACUUCAGUGGUUUUAUUUUUCUUCCUUCUCUUCAUUGUAGCCUUCAUCAUAUAUGGUGGGCGGCUGUGCCCAAGUGCGUGCCCGUUCGUUGGCCAAAAUAGCGGCGGCCAUAGCAGCGGGCCGCACGCGUUCAUCCAGCAGCAACACCCACGCUAUACCACGCUGCACGGCGACGACGAAGCCUACCGUGGGAUGAAGCUGAGCAACGCGGCAGCCGGGGUCCCAGUCGGCGGCCGAAAUCCGAGACGCUUUUAUCAGCCGCAACGCGGCGCCGGUGACAGCGAAGGCCAUUGUGACAUAUUCGUCGAACUGAAAGACAAACCCACCAAGACCGUGCGAAGCGCCGGCGCACACAUCAGCGGUGAAGCCACGGAUUCUUUUAGCUUUAUGGUGGGCAACAACCCAGCAGCAAAGAAUGGACUCGUUGGUACUUCGGCUUCCUCGGCCGGGCCGGUGACAGUGCACGUCCCGAUGCAGCCCAAGAGCUCGCUGAAGUCACUGCGGAAGGGCAAGCUGGGCCACGUGUCGACUACUCCGGCGGCCUCUUUUUCCUCGGGUUCGACGACUGAAACACCGGGCUCAAACGCGAGAAGCCCGCUUUACCGCUCAACUGCAGACACACGUUCCGGCCACGCCGAAGCUGCCGCUAUGCCGCCGACCACAUCGCAGCCACGCGUUGAGGACGAUUGGGAGUGGUAAGAUAAGACCACGUACAAGCGGGAGGCACCAAAGGGCGGCAAUGAAGCGCACGAAGCGAUGAGAUCUGUUCACCAAGUGGGCAGUGUGUGCACACACCCUCACCCUCCGCAUGAGUGAUGUAACCGACGUCACUGCUGACGACUUCCCCCCCCUCCCUCUCAGCGUCACCUAGGGUGCAAGUCUGCUGGGUUAUGCGUACCUAGCGCUGCCCUUUGUACUCGUGCGUCACCAUCACAGGCUUUGCGCAUGCACAGCGCAGAGACAGCAACGGUGCUUUUUCAUUGUUUUUUUUUUCAUCUUGCCUUUUUCCUUCUUGAUCCGCCUCAUCCUUCUUUCUCGUUUCCACUGGGCGUUUUUCACCUGCGUCGGGUUAACUCUCUCAUUUUGCGGUUGGGCCAUAUUUUCUUCCCUUCACCUCUUUUUCCCUUUCUCGCGCAGUUGAGACGCGCAUCUUACAGUCAGGUGACUGCUACCGAGACGGUCAUGUCGUGCAUCGCGCUGUCGCCGCAACUGAUUCAGUUCUCUGUAGUUGUUGUCGCCUUACUGGCGAUUUGAUGCCCGUUUCUCUUCUCUAAUUCUUCAUUGCGACUUUGUCUUUUCUUCUCAUCUCCGCAUCUUUC